Molecule: ribosomal RNA, 274 nt
Filed under: uncultured bacterium
Lineage: Bacteria
Description: partial 16S ribosomal RNA
Rfam family: Bacterial small subunit ribosomal RNA
Source: RNAcentral
AUACGGAGGGUGCGAGCGUUAAUCGGAAUUACUGGGCGUAAAGCGUACGUAGGCGGUUGGUUAAGUUAGAUGUGAAAGCCCCGGGCUUAACCUGGGAACUGCAUUUAAAACUGGCGAACUAGAGUUGAGUAGAGGGGAGUGGAAUUUCAGGUGUAGCGGUGAAAUGAGUAGAGAUCUGAAGGAAAACAAGUGGCGAAGGCGACUCCCUGGACUCGAACUGACGCUGAGGUACGAAAGCGUGGGUAGCAAACGGGAUUAGAAACCCCAGUAGUCC